CAGGCAGCUCCACUAGGUAGUAUGUUCUCUGGGCAGCCACCAGGGGCCCGACCACCCCUGACAGGACUCCUAGGCUAGGCUUCACUUCUCAGGUGCUCCAAGCCCUUCUAAUAGUACUUUGGUGGUUGACUUGGAGUCAUCUUUCAAGGCUUGCUUUGUAUCUCUGGUGAGUCAGGACUAUAUCAAUGGCACUGAUCAGGAAGAAAUUCAAACUGGUGUUAAUCAGUGUAUCCAGAAGUUUCCGGAUACUGCAAGAGAGACAAUGUUUGCUUUGUUUUGUUUUUCCUAAAAAAAGAUUGCAAUUAUCUGUCCAGAAACCAGAGCAAGUUAUCAAAGAGGAUAUCUCAGAACUAUGGAAUGAAUUACAACAUUAAGAUGCACUGGUCCAGAAGCAUUUGACAAAGCUGAGGCAUUGGCAGCAGGUGCUAAAGGACAUCAACAUGCAGAACAAAAGCCAGCCGACAUCCCUCAGGGCUCCUUGGCCUACCUUGAGCAGGCAUCUGCCAAUAUCCCUCCACCUCUGAAGCCAACCUGAGCAAAGGGCAAAGGCUGUCAGCCUGAGAGAGGGCUGG
RNAcentral lists this long non-coding RNA (572 nucleotides) under Homo sapiens (human). RNAcentral describes it as "non-protein coding lnc-ZNF674-12:1". The record is from RNAcentral. Lineage: Eukaryota; Metazoa; Chordata; Mammalia; Primates; Hominidae.